UACGAAGGGGGCUAGCGUUGUUCGGAAUCACUGGGCGUAAAGCGCAUGCAGGCGGGCCGUUAAGUUUGGGGUGAAAUCCCGAGGCUCAACCUCGGAACUGCCUCUGAUACUGGCGACCUUGAGUCCGGGAGAGGUGAGUGGAACUGCGAGUGUAGAGGUGAAAUGCGUAGAUAUUCGCAAGAACACCAGUGGCGAAGGCGGCUCACUGGCCCGAUACUGACACUGAGGUGCGAAAGCGUGGGGAGCAAACAGG
This 253-nucleotide ribosomal RNA is filed under the name uncultured bacterium. RNAcentral describes it as "partial 16S ribosomal RNA". It matches the Rfam family "Bacterial small subunit ribosomal RNA", at positions 524 to 776 of the family's 1533-position model. The record is from RNAcentral.